AUCUACUGUCAUACCACCCUGAUCCCGGAAGCUAAGCAGGGUAGUGCCUGUCCAGUACCUGGAUGGGAGACCGCCGGGGAAUACUGGGUGCUGUAGGCC
Ribosomal RNA from Chlorocebus sabaeus (green monkey), 99 nucleotides. The record is from Ensembl. Lineage: Eukaryota; Metazoa; Chordata; Mammalia; Primates; Cercopithecidae.